Non-coding RNA from Meloidogyne enterolobii, 102 nucleotides. Lineage: Eukaryota; Metazoa; Nematoda; Chromadorea; Rhabditida; Meloidogynidae. The record is from the annotation of a GenBank genome assembly.
GCCCCAGUAGCUCAGUGAUAGAGCUCCCGUAUGUGGUGAGCGAAAGCACCUAGCAAUAACUACUAUGUAGGAGGUCGCAGGUUCGAAUCCUGCACGGCCGCU